This is a non-coding RNA of Anoplophora glabripennis (Asian longhorned beetle), 71 nucleotides long. Lineage: Eukaryota; Metazoa; Arthropoda; Insecta; Coleoptera; Cerambycidae. The record is from the annotation of a RefSeq genome assembly.
AACUAAUUUAUAUAAUAUAAUAAUUAUAUUUGACUUCCAAUCAAAAAAUCUAGACAACUAGAUUUUAAUUA